Leptonychotes weddellii (Weddell seal) is the source of this 2340-nucleotide non-coding RNA. The record is from RefSeq and is a predicted model, not a curated record. Lineage: Eukaryota; Metazoa; Chordata; Mammalia; Carnivora; Phocidae.
UGUAAGAACUGGUGGUGCUCCUGAACAUAAAGUCCCAGAAGGAGGGGUUCCCUCCCCCACCGUCCCCCUUGGCCGGGGCUCUCGGGAGUUUUUAACUGAGGCUAGUCCCAUUCAGCCUCCAGUGCCUUGUCAGUUACCUUGUAAGAGUCCCUACCAGUGCUGGCUUCCGGGCCUCUCCUUCAGAAGUCAACUUUAAUACUUAUGCCUCAGUUCCUGCACCUGUGAAACAGGAGACAGAAUAGCUGAUAUCUGUACAGAAGACAUGGACAGUAUCCGUCAUGUAAAACCAUGAAAAGGUAACUGGGUUGGUGCAUCGUUUGAAAUUCCCCAAGCAACAAGGAUCUGCUGAUCCUUUCUUCCUCUUCAUCUAGCCUGCUGUUGAACCCCUCUGUUUAAAAGUGAAACCAAAUCGAGAUAUCCAUUUAGCAUGAAUCCCUUGACAACCCCUGCUAAUUGGCAGUGGUGGGUGGUUACUGCUUUUAUGUUAAAACCCAGGAGGUAAGUUAAUUGCAAUAUAAUUUCAUUUAGAUAAGGUUAUGGGACUGCUUACUGGUGGGUAUUGCAACCUUAUUUGUAAGAAAAGCAUUCAGAACAGCACAGAGGAAGGGUGAAGUAAUUAUCACAGGUUACACCUUGGAACUGGGUGGCACCUGACUCUCCCUAGAACAUGAGGAAAACCUACAGAAGAGAAAAUGCAGCAUAACGUCUAUGUAAAAUCCCCUCAGCGUAGCACCAUUAGACUCUGCCUUUUAAAAACUAUGUUGAUGGCUGGCUGAAUGGCCCCCAGAAACCCUGUCGUAUAGAAGGGAUCCUAAUGAGUUUUCUACGAUUUCUAACUCAGUUUAAUAAAAUCCUUCUCCGCUCCUGCCACUAAAAUAUGAGCCAAAGGAACAAGGGUGGGGGUGGGGGUGGGGUACCUGAUUUUGGACCUUUCCAGGGCCAAUCUCAAUUUUUGUAAGACCAUUAUCAUUUGUUCAUUUCACAUGAAAUCUAAGAAACAAGCAAAGAGAAGAAAAAGAGAAAAUUAAGCCGCAACGGAGCUCUUUAGAGUCUUGGAACAAUUAAUUUUUUAAACUUCCUUGGACAGCUUGGACAGAAAGCCUAACUGAAUUCAAAGGUGCUUGUGGAAAGAUGGAGCACUGGGAGGGAACGGGAAAGGCUUGGGGGUAGAGAUGGAGGUUAGACUGCGUUAUUUCCUCUAGCCUGUGCAGUCUGAACAGACUUGUUUGCUUGUUAAUUUUCUGCAAUCUUUAUAAAAGAUAGAGAAAGAUACAGUGUGAGGACUGUGAUUUAUAAUAGCGUCAUUAUUCCAUAAUUGAAAAUACCGUGCGUUUGGUUGUCUGGUAGAAUAUGCCCAUCAGAAAUAACCUGUAGCUCGGGAGGCCAGUGGGUUGCUAUGACAACCAGACAAAAGAGUUUAAUAAUAGCUCUCCCUCAAAGCUGGAAAAUUGACAAAAAGAUGAGAUCUCUAAAUGCAAGUGUUUCUCAUAUAAAUGCAAACAAGCACCAAAUACGUUUAUUUCUUUGUUCAACAAAUAUUCAUUGAACGCUGAUGCUGUGCCUGGCUAUGUUAGGAGCUGAGGAAAAGACAGACAGGGUCCCUCCAUGAUGGAGUUCACAUUCUAGUGCAGGAAGCAGGUAAUAAAGAGUAAACAAAUCAAUAAACUGGGUAAUUCCCGCCUGCGAGAAGCUCUUGCAGGAAAGAAAGUAAUGGGGCUGUGAUCCUAAACAAGAGGUAGCCAGUGCAGAAAAUGCAGAAGAACCCGGUCACGGCACAGAUCACAGAUCGUGUCUCUGGGCUCAGAGGAGAUUUAGAAAUGAAACAGAAAAUGGAGUCUUACAAUCUUGAUUAACGUAGGGAUAGAAACACAACCACCAGCUGGCAGAUUACUCGUCAGUUGCUGGUAGAGGUUGGGGUUCUAUAUAAAAAUAAGGGUGGUUUGUGUUUUUAAAAUAAAAACGAGUAUUUGUAAUGAUAAUGAUAAAAGCUGUAUUCCAAACUUGACAGAAGCGAUUAUUCACAACAUUCUCUGGCAGCUGUUUUUGAAGUGUGCACAGACACGAGAGUGACCCUCUGUGCGUACCCUGAAUAAACUCUGAUGAACUGGAAGUCAGGACGAGAAUCCAGCAAGAAACGGAGUUUUGCAUCUAUGAUUGUGGCUAAUGGUCUGGGCUUCAACAGAGGGGGAGACCAGUACACUUACAGUCACACAGCACUGCAGGGAUGAUCCAGGCACAGAAAAUGCUAGAAUGUUGCUAAAUAGCUGAGCUUGCUCUAAGAAACUUCCAGUUUUCAUCAUUACUCUGUGAUUCGUUAGCUUUUUAUUUUUUUUUUAAAGA